CCUACGGGGGGCUGCAGUGGGGAAUAUUGGACAAUGGGCGAAAGCCUGAUCCAGCCAUGCCGCGUGUGUGAAGAAGGCCUUCGGGUUGUAAAGCACUUUCAGUGGGGAAGAAAGCCUUGGGGCUAAUACCCUCGAGGAAGGACAUCACCCACAGAAGAAGCACCGGCUAACUCCGUGCCAGCAGCCGCGGUAAUACGGAGGGUGCGAGCGUUAAUCGGAAUUACUGGGCGUAAAGCGCGCGUAGGUGGUCUGAUAAGCCGGUUGUGAAAGCCCCGGGCUCAACCUGGGAACGGCAUCCGGAACUGUCAGGCUAGAGUGCAGGAGAGGAAGGUAGAAUUCCCGGUGUAGCGGUGAAAUGCGUAGAGAUCGGGAGGAAUACCAGUGGCGAAGGCGGCCUUCUGGACUGACACUGACGCUGAGGUGCGAAAGCGUGGGUAGCAAACAGGAUUAGAUACCCUGGUAGUC
This 465-nucleotide ribosomal RNA is filed under the name Vreelandella stevensii. RNAcentral describes it as "partial 16S ribosomal RNA". It matches the Rfam family "Bacterial small subunit ribosomal RNA", at positions 338 to 795 of the family's 1533-position model. The record is from RNAcentral. Lineage: Bacteria; Pseudomonadati; Pseudomonadota; Gammaproteobacteria; Oceanospirillales; Halomonadaceae.